RNAcentral lists this ribosomal RNA (482 nucleotides) under uncultured bacterium. RNAcentral's name for it is "partial 16S ribosomal RNA". It matches the Rfam family "Bacterial small subunit ribosomal RNA", at positions 30 to 507 of the family's 1533-position model. The record is from RNAcentral.
AUUGAACGCUGGCGGCAUGCCUUACACAUGCAAGUCGAACGGUAACGGGCCUUCUGGUGCCGCCGAGUGGCGUACGGGUGGGUAAUACACCGGAACGUGACCGACCUUGGGGGGUAACGAGGCGAAAGCUUUGCUAAUACCGCACACGAUCUUCGGAUGAAUUCCGGGGUCCGCAAGGCCAUGCUGGGAUGGAGCGGCUGCUGGCAGAAUAGGUAGUGGGUGGGAUAGAAGCUUACCAAGCCGACGAUCUGUAGCUGGUCUGAGAGGAUGAUCGGCCAAACUGGGACUGAGACACGGCCCAGACUCCUACGGGAGGCAGCAGUGGGGAAUUUUGGACAAUGGGCGCAAGCCUGAUCCAGCCAUGCCGCGUGCAGGAUGAAGGCCUUCGGGUUGUAAACUGCUUUUGUACGGAACGAAAAGCCUUCUUUUAAUACAGGAGGGUCAUGACGGUACCGUAAGAAUAAGCACCGGCUAACUACGUG